Lolium perenne is the source of this 2195-nucleotide long non-coding RNA. RefSeq lists it as uncharacterized. The record is from RefSeq and is a predicted model, not a curated record. Lineage: Eukaryota; Viridiplantae; Streptophyta; Magnoliopsida; Poales; Poaceae.
CUGGUUCCUCCGUCCUCACGGCUUCAGGGCUACGAAUCACACCGGAGUCCAUCGCACGGAGAAUUUAUCAGGUUACCUUUCUCCUAUCUCCUCCGCAUAGAAUAGAGAUUAGGUGUGCAGGGCAUCGAUCUGCCCUUUUUCCUUCCAUCCUUGAACUACCGUGCAGCCACCGUGCAGCCUCCGGUAUGGCCGCCAGGAUCAAACAGCCCAUCUCACCGUCCUACCAGGACAACCACCGGGAUGCAAUAGCCACCCUCGCCGGCUGCCGGCAAGGCGGCGGUGGGCCGGUGGCGGCGGAGCUCACACCGAGAUGGGAGACGUUCGAUCUGCUGUCUUCGAUGCCGUCCACGUCCUCGGCCAUGGCGACCACAACCAAUCAACCAUGGCGGCCGCGAACACCACCAAGACUGCCAACACCUCACCUAUCCCCGUGACAGCGGCACGGUACACACCUGAUUUCUCCCUUGCUUGUCGAUUUGAGUUUACCUGUCUAAAUGGGCGAGUUGUGCCGCCUGUGCGCUCCCGGCCAUCUACGGUUGACGAUCCCCUGUGGCCCCGCCGGCCGUCGCGCCGAUCAGUCCGCCGCCGGCCACCAGCUCGCUCCGCUGGCCACCCACGUGGAUGCGUCUCGCCUCGCUCGGAAUGGCUGCACUCUCCAAGUCUAGGCGAAAGUACACAACAGUGACGCAUGCGCGCCGCGCGCCAGCACCAGACCACAGAUCGGGUCCCGUCAGCGUGGCGGCGGUCGUCCAUCGCAGGCUUCGUGCUGUCGAAGAAAAGUGGCGCGGCCUAAAUCACUAGCUUCUGUAUGUUGAGAUCUAUGUCGACGUGCAGGUGCAGAAAUCCCAAGCGACUGGGACUGAGGAGUACUUUUAGGAAGCCAAUAUUUAUUUUUGCAAAAGCUAUAUUAGACACUUUCAGAUUAUUGAAGCAGUAAUCAUGUGUUUUUCAUAUGAUCAGGGUGCUGCAGUAGUUGCUGGCCUAGCGCUACAGCAAGGAGACUUGCACAAGCUGGACGAUGCGGAGAAAAUCAGGAAGGAGAUCAAGGAGCAAGAGGAGUUAGAUCAGGAAGGGUGUGACCACCGUCCACAAAAGGUUUGGAUGUUUCCCUGAUUGUUGAUUAUGGCAAUGUAGUAUACACAUAUGAAGUCGAUUGUUGAGUUACCAGUUUGUUGGUGUUCUUGAAAAAAUAUGGCUAUGGUUAAUUGGUCAUUAUUCACAAACAAAAAUAUUUUUAGAGUUUAACGGACUGUCUCAAGUUUGCACCAAGACUUCCUGGAUUUGGGUCACAUUUAUUAAGUAUAUUUAAUUGUUGGUGCGAUCCUUUUGUUGCUUAAGCUUUAUUCUUAAGUACUGCAAAAUCAAGGGGCGCUUGGUUUGGUAAGAUGAGGUUCACUGCAUUAUGUUCUUCAGUCUUGUGAAGGUAUGACUCGGCAAGUGGGCAAUGGCGAUCAGUGCUCCAAGGGAUAUAUGAUGACAACUAGGAAAUUACUCUAAUGGAAGGUAAUUUUCAGAUACCAUGUGUUGUCUUUGAAGUAUCCAAUAUUGUAGUAUAUACUCAAACAAAUGCUCUUGUUUAUAAAAAUAUUGUGGUCAUUUGUUGUCCACUUUUGUGGUGUCUAUGUCAUACGUAUGCACCAGAACAAGAUGCUACAAAGUGGGGAAUGGUAUGACUCAAAAAAAUUGGUGUCUUAACUUUCUGAACCUUUAUUGAAUGUCAUCCACAUGUCACAAUUAAGUGAGCCUCCCCUGUCAAUGAAUUUAUUACAAUAUAGGAAAAGCUUCAAGCUUAUCACAAACGUCUAUGAAAGUUUUGACCUACUCAUUUGCUAGCUGCUAAUAGGUCUUGAUAGUUUAGUUUUCUGGCAGGAGGUUGUUCCUCCAGUUUAGUUAAUCUAUGGUCCAAGAUUUAAUCUGAAGUAGUGUGCUUAAUUUUUGACAUGUUCAAUGGAGGCGCUGGGUGAAGUUCAUCUUAUCUCAAUUGGGGAAAGCACAAAAUACAACUCAUUCACUUUGCAGGACAUGAGCAUCUCUUAGUUUGCAACACAACAACUUUGUUCAAGAGAUGCCGUUGAUUAUAGUUGUUGUCUUUCUAGGCUUAUGCCAUAUGCAUAUGUUAAGAGUUCUAGAUGUAAUUCUAUAUGUUCUGGUAAACAGGGAUUCUUGCUUAAUAGAUCAUUUUAUCAUGAUGUUCA